This 77-nucleotide transfer RNA is filed under the name Escherichia coli. RNAcentral's name for it is "tRNA-Lys(ttt)". It matches the Rfam family "tRNA". Rfam says of the family: Transfer RNA (tRNA) molecules are approximately 80 nucleotides in length. Their secondary structure includes four short double-helical elements and three loops (D, anti-codon, and T loops). Lineage: Bacteria; Pseudomonadati; Pseudomonadota; Gammaproteobacteria; Enterobacterales; Enterobacteriaceae. The record is from RNAcentral.
GGGUCGUUAGCUCAGUUGGUAGAGCAGUUGACUUUUAAUCAAUUGGUCGCAGGUUCGAAUCCUGCCACGACCCACCA